Molecule: ribosomal RNA, 97 nt
Filed under: Enterobacter cloacae
Lineage: Bacteria; Pseudomonadati; Pseudomonadota; Gammaproteobacteria; Enterobacterales; Enterobacteriaceae
Also listed under: 2 other names
Description: partial 23S ribosomal RNA
Rfam family: Bacterial large subunit ribosomal RNA (bases 1-79)
Source: RNAcentral
ACGACGUUGAUAGGUCGGGUGUGUAAGCGCAGCGAUGCGUUGAGCUAACCGAUACUAAUGAACCGUGAGGCUUAACCUUACAACGCCGAAGGUGUUU